CCUACGGGGUGCUGCAGUGAGGAAUAUUGGUCAAUGGCCGGAAGGCUGAACCAGCCAUGCCGCGUGAAGGUCAGUGCCCUAUGGGCGUUAAACUUCUUUUGUGCGGGAGCAAUAAUGGUCACGUGUGGCCAGACGAGAGUACCGUACGAAUAAGCAUCGGCUAACUCCGUGCCAGCAGCCGCGGUAAUACGGGGGAUGCAAGCGUUAUCCGGAUUUAUUGGGUUUAAAGGGUGCGUAGGCUGUGAGGUAAGUCAGCGGUGAAAUGCCCCCGCUCAACGGGGUGAAGUGCCAUUGAUACUGCCUGGCUGGAAUGAGGAUGCCGUGGGAGGAAUGUGUGGUGUAGCGGUGAAAUGCAUAGAUAUCACACAGAACACCGAUUGCGAAGGCAUCUCACGAAUCCGCGAUUGACGCUGAUGCACGAAAGCGUGGGUAUCAAACAGGAUUAGAUACCCGUGUAGUC
Molecule: ribosomal RNA, 460 nt
Filed under: uncultured bacterium
Lineage: Bacteria
Description: partial 16S ribosomal RNA
Rfam family: Bacterial small subunit ribosomal RNA
Source: RNAcentral